RNAcentral lists this ribosomal RNA (484 nucleotides) under uncultured bacterium. RNAcentral describes it as "partial 16S ribosomal RNA". It matches the Rfam family "Bacterial small subunit ribosomal RNA", at positions 30 to 507 of the family's 1533-position model. The record is from RNAcentral.
AUUGAACGCUGGCGGCAGGCCUAACACAUGCAAGUCGAGCGGAUGAAGGGAGCUUGCUCCUGGAUUCAGCGGCGGACGGGUGAGUAAUGCCUAGGAAUCUGCCUGGUAGUGGGGGAUAACGUCCGGAAACGGGCGCUAAUACCGCAUACGUCCUGAGGGAGAAAGUGGGGGAUCUUCGGACCUCACGCUAUCAGAUGAGCCUAGGUCGGAUUAGCUAGUUGGUGGGGUAAAGGCCUACCAAGGCGACGAUCCGUAACUGGUCUGAGAGGAUGAUCAGUCACACUGGAACUGAGAAACGGUCCAGACUCCUACGGGAGGCAGCAGUGGGGAAUAUUGGACGAGGGGCGAAAGCCUGAUCCAGCCAUGCCGCGUGUGUGAAGAAGGUCUUCGGAUUGUAAAGCACUUUAAGUUGGGGGGAAGGGCAGUAAGUUAAUACCUUGCUGUUUUGACGGUACCGACAGAAUAAGCACCGGCUAACUUCGUG